CCUACGGGAGACAGCAGUGGGGAAUAUUGCACAAUGGGGGAAACCCUGAUGCAGCGACGCCGCGUGAGUGAAGAAGUAAUUCGGUAUGUAAAGCUCUAUCAGCAGGGAAGAAAAAGACGGUACCUGACUAAGAAGCCCCGGGCAACUACGUGCCAGCAGCCGCCGUAAUACGUGGGGGGCAGGCGUUAUCCGGAUUUACUGGGUGUAAAGGGAGCGUAGACGGCGGAACAAGUCAGAAGUGAAAACUCGGGGCUCAACCCUGGGAGUGCUUUUGAAACUGGAUGUCUGGAGUGCAGGUGAGGUAAGCGGAAUUACUAGUGUAGCGGUGAAAUGCGUAGAUAUUAGGAGGAACACCAGUAGCGAAGGCGGCUUACUGGACUGUAACUGACGUUGAGGCUCGAAAGCGUGGGGAGCAAACAGGAUUAGAUACCCGAGUAGUC
This 440-nucleotide ribosomal RNA is filed under the name uncultured bacterium. RNAcentral's name for it is "partial 16S ribosomal RNA". It matches the Rfam family "Bacterial small subunit ribosomal RNA", at positions 338 to 795 of the family's 1533-position model. The record is from RNAcentral.